CAGUAGCCGCGGUAACACGAAGGGUGCAAGCGUUACUCGGAAUUACUGGGCGUAAAGCGUGCGUAGGUGGUGGUUUAAGUCCGUUGUGAAAGCCCUGGGCUCAACCUGGGAAUUGCAGUGGAUACUGGGUCACUAGAGUGUGGUAGAGGAUAGUGGAAUUUCCGGUGUAGCAGUGAAAUGCGUAGAGAUCGGAAGGAACAUCUGUGGCGAAGGCGACUAUCUGGGCCAACACUGACACUGAGGCACGAAAGCGUGGGGAGCAAACAGGAUUAGAUACCCGAGUAGUCCCUGUCUCUUAUAA
RNAcentral lists this ribosomal RNA (301 nucleotides) under uncultured bacterium. RNAcentral's name for it is "partial 16S ribosomal RNA". It matches the Rfam family "Bacterial small subunit ribosomal RNA", at positions 509 to 809 of the family's 1533-position model. The record is from RNAcentral.